RNAcentral lists this non-coding RNA (24 nucleotides) under Arabidopsis thaliana (thale cress). The record is from RNAcentral. Lineage: Eukaryota; Viridiplantae; Streptophyta; Magnoliopsida; Brassicales; Brassicaceae.
ACCGCUUAUUUUGUACAAACCGCA